UGUCGGGGUAACGGCCCAACAAGCCAGUAAUCGGUACGGGUUGUGGGAGCAAGAGCCCGGAGUUGGACUCUGAGACACGAAUCCAGGCCCUACGGGGCGCAGCAGGCGCGAAAACUUUACAAUGCGGGCAACCGUGAUAAGGGAACCUCGAGUGCCUGUAUAUGCAGGCUGUCUGGGUGUCUAAAACACACCUAAAGAAAGGGCCGGGCAAGACCGGUGCCAGCCGCCGCGGUAAUACCGGCGGCUCGAGUGGUGGCCACUUUUAUUGGGCUUAAAGCGUUCGUAGCUGGGUUAUUAAGUCCCUUGGGAAAUCCGACGGCUUAACCGUCGGGCGUCUAAGGGAUACUGGCAAUCUUGGAACCGGGAGAGGUGAGGGGUACUUCGGGGGUAGGAGUGAAAUCCUGUAAUCCUCGAGGGACCACCUGUGGCGAAGGCGCCUCACCAGAACGGCUUCGACAGUGAGGGACGAAAGCUGGGGGAGCAAACCGGAUUAGAU
RNAcentral lists this ribosomal RNA (496 nucleotides) under uncultured microorganism. RNAcentral describes it as "bacterial SSU rRNA". It matches the Rfam family "Archaeal small subunit ribosomal RNA", at positions 234 to 734 of the family's 1478-position model. The record is from RNAcentral.